CCUGACGAGUGGCGAACGGGUGAGUAAUGCAUCGGAACGUACCCAGUCGUGGGGGAGUAACGUAGCGAAAGUUACGCUAAUACCGCAUACGUCCUGAGGGAGAAAGCGGGGGACCGUAAGGCCUCGCGCGAUUGGAGCGGCCGAUGUCGGAUUAGCUAGUUGGUAGGGUAAAGGCCUACCAAGGCGACGAUCCGUAGCGGGCCUGAGAGGAUGAUCCGCCACACUGGGACUGAGACACGGCCCAG
This 245-nucleotide ribosomal RNA is filed under the name uncultured bacterium. RNAcentral's name for it is "partial 16S ribosomal RNA". It matches the Rfam family "Bacterial small subunit ribosomal RNA", at positions 87 to 334 of the family's 1533-position model. The record is from RNAcentral.